ACUGCUCAGUAACACGUGGAUAACCUGCCCUUGGGACCGGCAUAACCCCGGGAAACUGGGGAUAAUUCCGGAUAACGCAUAUAUGCUGGAAUGCUUUAUGCGUAAAAUGGAUUCGUCUGCCCAAGGAUGGGUCUGCGGCCUAUCAGGUAGUAGUGGGUGUAAUGGACCUACUAGCCUACAACGGGUACGGGUUGUGAGAGCAAGAGCCCGGAGAUGGAUUCUGAGACAUGAAUCCAGGCCCUACGGGGCGCAGCAGGCGCGAAAACUUUACAAUGCGGGAAACCGUGAUAAGGGGACACCGAGUGCCAGCAUCAUAUGCUGGCUGUCCAGGUGUGUAAAAUACACCUGUUAGCAAGGGCCGGGCAAGACCGGUGCCAGCCGCCGCGGUAACACCGGCGGCCCGAGUGGUGAUCGUGAUUAUUGGGUCUAAAGGGUCCGUAGCCGGUUUGGUCAGUCCUCCGGGAAAUCUGACAGCUCAACUGUUAGGCUUUCGGGGGAUACUGCCAGACUUGGAACCGGGAGAGGUAAGAGGUACUACAGGGGUAGGAGUGAAAUCUUGUAAUCCCUGUGGGACCACCUGUGGCGAAGGCGUCUUACCAGAACGGGUUCGACGGUGAGGGACGAAAGCUGGGGGCACGAACCGGAUUAGAUACCCGGGUAGUCCCAGCCGUAAACGAUGCUCGCUAGGUGUCAGGCAUGGCGCGACCGUGUCUGGUGCCGCAGGGAAGCCGUGAAGCGAGCCACCUGGGAAGUACGGCCGCAAGGCUGAAACUUAAAGGAAUUGGCGGGGGAGCAC
Molecule: ribosomal RNA, 796 nt
Filed under: uncultured archaeon
Lineage: Archaea
Description: bacterial SSU rRNA
Rfam family: Archaeal small subunit ribosomal RNA
Source: RNAcentral